RNAcentral lists this ribosomal RNA (390 nucleotides) under uncultured bacterium. RNAcentral describes it as "bacterial SSU rRNA". It matches the Rfam family "Bacterial small subunit ribosomal RNA", at positions 288 to 694 of the family's 1533-position model. The record is from RNAcentral.
CGGCCUGAGAGGGCGGCCGGCCACAUUUGGGACUGAGACACGGCCCAGACUCCUGCGGGAGGCAGCAGUGGGGAAUAUUGCACAAUGGGGGAAACCCUGAUGCAGCGACGCCGCGUGAGCGAUGAAGUAUCUCGGUAUGUAAAGCUCUAUCAGCAGGGAAGAAAGUGACAGUACCUGACUAAGAAGCCCCGGCUAACUACGUGCCAGCAGCCGCGGUAAUACGUAGGGGGCAAGCGUUAUCCGGAUUCACUGGGCGUAAAGGGAGCGCAGGCGGCACGGCAAGUCUGGUGUGAAAACCCGGGGCUCAACCCCGGGACUGCAUUGGAAACUGCCGGGCUGGAGUGUCGGAGGGGUAAGCGGAAUUCCUAGUGUAGCGGUGAAAUGCGUAGA